This 144-nucleotide ribosomal RNA is filed under the name Vibrio parahaemolyticus. RNAcentral describes it as "partial 16S ribosomal RNA". It matches the Rfam family "Bacterial small subunit ribosomal RNA", at positions 1 to 125 of the family's 1533-position model. The record is from RNAcentral. Lineage: Bacteria; Pseudomonadati; Pseudomonadota; Gammaproteobacteria; Vibrionales; Vibrionaceae.
UUAAAUUGAAGAGUUUGAUCAUGGCUCAGAUUGAACGCUGGCGGCAGGCCUAACACAUGCAAGUCGAGCGGAAACGAGUUAUCAGAACCUUCGGGGGACGAUAACGGCGUCGAGCGGCGGACGGGUGAGUAAUGCCUAGGAAAU